Molecule: ribosomal RNA, 475 nt
Filed under: Escherichia coli
Lineage: Bacteria; Pseudomonadati; Pseudomonadota; Gammaproteobacteria; Enterobacterales; Enterobacteriaceae
Description: bacterial SSU rRNA
Rfam family: Bacterial small subunit ribosomal RNA
Source: RNAcentral
AAAUUGAAGAGUUUGAUCAUGGCUCAGAUUGAACGCUGGCGGCAGGCCUAACACAUGCAAGUCGAACGGUAACAGAAAGCAGCUUGCUGCUUUGCUGACGAGUGGCGGACGGGUGAGUAAUGUCUGGGAAACUGCCUGAUGGAGGGGGAUAACUACUGGAAACGGUAGCUAAUACCGCAUAAUGUCGCAAGACCAAAGAGGGGGACCUUCGGGCCUCUUGCCAUCGGAUGUGCCCAGAUGGGAUUAGCUAGUAGGUGGGGUAACGGCUCACCUAGGCGACGAUCCCUAGCUGGUCUGAGAGGAUGACCAGCCACACUGGAACUGAGACACGGUCCAGACUCCUACGGGAGGCAGCAGUGGGGAAUAUUGCACAAUGGGCGCAAGCCUGAUGCAGCCAUGCCGCGUGUAUGAAGAAGGCCUUCGGGUUGUAAAGUACUUUCAGCGGGGAGGAAGGGAGUAAAGUUAAUACCUUUGC